CCUGUCUUCAUCAUCGUCGUCACUCUUUUCUUCUGCAAUGACCAUGUUGUCGUUGUCACUCUGGUCUGCCCCAAGGUCUUCAUUAUCUUCUGCUGCUGGUAGUGGACUUGGGCUUUUGGAACGAGUAGGAGGAUAACUCUAGGAUUCGGUCGGAAGACAAUUCGCUUGUUAACUAAUCACGUAACUUGAGCCAACGUUACUUUCACACAUUUUAUUGUAAAUUUAAAAUAGCUGUGAAUAUGAAAACGAAAAAUAUGAAAACAGACUGGAUUUCUAUGAACCGCUCUAUUUUUGGGAUCCCGGCGCACUUGAUUUGUCUCGUCUCACACACCUUUGUUCUCAUGAGAGCUUUCCAUGAGUUUCGCAAUCGUGAUCUUGUACUAUAAAUUAACAUACGAACAUGAACAGUAAGUCAAAAAGAAGGUAAAAUAUGAAGAAAAAGAAACAGAAAAUAAUACUCAAAAUGAGACGUGACAAAACGAAAGUUUGUUUGUGUUUAAUAAAUCAGGGUCUAAAUAGUA
Long non-coding RNA from Folsomia candida, 521 nucleotides. RefSeq lists it as uncharacterized. NCBI's taxonomy places the organism in Eukaryota, Metazoa, Arthropoda, Collembola, Entomobryomorpha, Isotomidae. The transcript is spliced from 2 exons. The record is from RefSeq and is a predicted model, not a curated record.